UUCAGGAUGACAGCCCUACGGGUUGUCAACUGCUUUUAUACAGGAAGAAACACUCCGACGUGUCGGAGCUUGACGGUACUGUAAGAAUAAGGAUCGGCUAACUCCGUGCCAGCAGCCGCGGUAAUACGGAGGAUCCAAGCGUUAUCCGGAAUCAUUGGGUUUAAAGGGUCCGCAGGCUGUUUUUUAAGUCAGAGGUGAAAUCCUGCAGCUCAACUGUAGAACUGCCUUUGAUACUGGAAAACUUGAGUUAUUGUGAAGUGGUUAGAAUGUGUGGUGUAGCGGUGAAAUGCAUAGAUAUCACACAGAAUACCGAUUGCGAAGGCAGAUCACUAACAAUAUACUGACGCUCAUGGACGAAAGCGUGGGGAGCGAACAGGAUUAGAUACCCUGGUAGUCCACGCCGUAAACGAUGGAUACUAGCUGUUCGUCUAACAUUGGUUAGAUGAGUGGCUAAGCGAAAGUGAUAAGUAUCCCACCUGGGGAGUACGGUCGCAAGACUGAAACUCAAAGGAAUUGACGGGGGCCCGCA
RNAcentral lists this ribosomal RNA (529 nucleotides) under uncultured Flavobacterium sp. RNAcentral's name for it is "bacterial SSU rRNA". It matches the Rfam family "Bacterial small subunit ribosomal RNA", at positions 401 to 925 of the family's 1533-position model. The record is from RNAcentral. Lineage: Bacteria; Pseudomonadati; Bacteroidota; Flavobacteriia; Flavobacteriales; Flavobacteriaceae.